CCUACGGGUGGCAGCAGUGAGGAAUAUUGGUCAAUGGGCGCGAGCCUGAACCAGCCAAGAAGCGUGAAGGAUGACUGCCCUACGGGUUGUAAACUUCUUUUAUAAAGGAAUAAAGUGAGGCACGUGUGCCUUUUUGUAUGUACUUUAUGAAUAAGGAUCGGCUAACUCCGUGCCAGCAGCCGCGGUAAUACGGAGGAUCCGAGCGUUAUCCGGAUUUAUUGGGUUUAAGGGGAGCGUAGAUGGGUUGUUAAGUCAGUUGUGAAAGUUUGCGGCUCAACCGUAAAAUUGCAAUUGAUACUGGCAGCCUUGAGUACAGUUGAGGUAGGCGGAAUUCGUGGUGUAGCGGUGAAAUGCUUAGAUACCACGAAGAACCCCGAUUGCGAAGGCAGCUUACUAAACUGUGACUGACAUUGAUGCUCGAAAGUGUGGGUAUCAAACAGGAUUAGAUACCCCAGUAGUC
This 460-nucleotide ribosomal RNA is filed under the name uncultured bacterium. Its description in RNAcentral is "partial 16S ribosomal RNA". It matches the Rfam family "Bacterial small subunit ribosomal RNA", at positions 338 to 795 of the family's 1533-position model. The record is from RNAcentral.